RNAcentral lists this signal recognition particle RNA (97 nucleotides) under Neptunomonas concharum. RNAcentral's name for it is "Neptunomonas sp. LHW37 Bacterial small signal recognition particle RNA". It matches the Rfam family "Bacterial small signal recognition particle RNA". Rfam says of the family: The signal recognition particle (SRP) is a universally conserved ribonucleoprotein involved in the co-translational targeting of proteins to membranes. Archaeal SRP consists of a 7S RNA and homologues of the eukaryotic SRP19 and SRP54 proteins. RNAcentral also lists the same sequence under 1 other name. Lineage: Bacteria; Pseudomonadati; Pseudomonadota; Gammaproteobacteria; Oceanospirillales; Oceanospirillaceae. The record is from Rfam by way of RNAcentral.
UGCUGGUCCUCUCGCAAUGAUACAUCGUGAACCUGGUCAGGCCCGGAAGGGAGCAGCCACAGCGAUCGACUCAUGUGCCGGGAUGUGGCUGGUGGAG